This 7017-nucleotide long non-coding RNA is filed under the name Malus domestica (apple). RNAcentral's name for it is "long non-coding RNA (MDOM_LNC004176)". Lineage: Eukaryota; Viridiplantae; Streptophyta; Magnoliopsida; Rosales; Rosaceae. The record is from RNAcentral.
GGUUUUCGCAGAGAGUGAGGUAAAGCUUCUUCUUGGAGGAGGAGAAGGUGGAGGAGGAGGAGGAGUGAGAUAGGAUCAGUGGCGGAUCUACAGAGGGACCUGGGAGGUCCCAGAACCCUUCGGCGACCCUAAAUCGCUGCUAGAAAAUUUUCGGGGACCCCUCGUACUCGAACACAAGGUCUGUGCAAUGUGUUUUGUAAUUUCUGGGUUGGUAGGUUCUGUUCUUGCGAGAGGAAGAAGAUGAUUAAAUGAGUUUCUCUCUCAUCCUUUCAUUCCCACGUGACCACCCUCAAACUUUCCCAUUUUAUUGAUUUUUUAAUUGGUCCAAUCACAUUCCGAUAGCUAGCAUCAACUUGAUCUUUCCAAAAUAUGAAAAUGGGUUGUCGGUCCCUAGGUGUAUAUUUUUGUUAAUUGGUGUGGCUCCCCUCCUUACGCGUCUAGUGCUUCAUUUUGCUUUCUACACCCACAUAUUUAACACACUUAUAUUUAUCUUAAAAUUCAAUAUAAAUCAAUAUGAUCUUUAAAAAUAUUAUGUAAAUUACUAUGAACUUGUAAUUAUUUGAACUUUUAUCUUAUACCUUAAAUUCACCAAAAUACUAGGUAUAUAAUAAAUUUAUUUAAAUUCACUUAGACCGCGCACGGAGAAGAAAGAAAAUAGGACCCUUUUUAACAAUUGGUAUAUUUUUUCUAUUUUUUUUUUGUUAAAUGUGUAGUUUAGAAAUAAAAAAAUGUGGAGAGAUUUUUCAAGUCAAAGCUGAUAGCACCAUCUAUUUGGUCAUUGAGAAAGAUGGUUGAGUGAUGUUUUUUCAUGUAUUGGUAAUGAAGCUAUCAUAGAAUAUUUUCAGACUAUGAAACCCCGUCGUGGACGCUCAAAUUAGGAUUUUAUAGCUUGUAAUGUUGUUUUGCGUAUGAUUUUUGAAUGAAAUGUAUUAUAUUUAACUUUUCAAUGUUAAUUUUGUCUAUAAAUGUUUUUACCUUUAUUAAUGGGACCCCCCAAACUUAAAAUCCUGGAUCCGCCACUGCCCGUGGGUAUCCCUCUUCAUGGCCCUUCCUUGCUUUGUUCAGCCAUGGUUUCUGUUGAGUUCGUGUGUAGAGUUCUGGUGUUAUAUCUGGCUCAGGUGUCUCCCACACCACCACGAUCUCCUUGUUGUCUGCCGUUCUCGGCGGUGUUGUUCGGGAUUUUCCCGGAGCUUCUUUCUGAUGGUUGGCUUCUCUCUCGCCGACUAUCUCUUGUUAAUGGUUAUGUGCAGGUGGCGCCUGUGGAGGUGAUGAUCAGCGGUGGAUGGAGGAUUGGAUGGCUGGCUGAUUCUCGGGUCGAUGGUGGAGAGCACAGUGGAUGGUUCUCGGUUGUUUGUUUGGGCUUCACUGUUGUUGGGCUCAUUUUCUUUGUUUUCUUUGUUUUUAGGCCCGUUCUUUAUUUGUUUGUAGGAAUAAUUGGACCUUUGUGUGGUUUGUAAGUGUGUGUUUGUUUUAAUAAAAGUUCCUCGCAACUUAAAAAAAAAAAAAAAAAACAGAAUCUUAAUUAGAAUAUGGAUGAAAAUUAUUAACAGACCUGGAUUCAGGCAGACGAAUCCAUUCCCAAUAUUGAGGAGUAUCGCCCCAAGUAAUCUUAAGCUUCCUUGCAGAUAUCAUAUAGCCCUUUUUCCCACUCCAUUUGUCCACUGAAAAGCUCUGCAAUUAAUAUUGAAUAUGCAUGACAUCAAUUAUAAUUAAAUACAUGAAUAAAAAUUAAUCACAAUAAGUUAAUAACAAAAACGAAGGCAUAUAGUUAAUAUGACGUUACCAUCUUCCCCUAAUCGAUGAGGACCGGGUUGUCACAUAGAGAGAGAGAGAAAAAGCUCCUUCUUGGAUUUCCAACUGGAAGAAGAAGAAGAGCAAGUCGGGACUGGGAGGGAGGAGGGAGACUGAGGUUGUACGGAGCACUUGCCGAGGAUCGUGUAGACAUCAGGCGGAAGGAACCUGUCCCAAACGGCGUCCAAAUCAGCGGCCGACCGGAAACCCCUAGACACCGCUGAAAGCCUGCACGCGUCAGGAGGCGUCGUUAAGGAGGCCACGGUGGCUUUGCAUCCUUCUGGCAACGCCACCAGAUCCAUCGCCGGCGUUCCUGUAGUUUGUCUUUGUAUAUUGUAUUGCGUUUUGGUGUUUGUAAACUUGUGUAAUAUUGUUUGGGCACAAAUUUACACCAUCAAAGUGAGCAUAACUUUCAACUGUUGGAUAGAAAAGUAAAGAUAGUUUUGUUGUUGUUAAAAGAUAAUAUUAUGGUUUUUAUCAUAAUAAUUAUCUUUUAACUAUCUUGACAAAUGCGAAUUAUAUCUCUAAGCAAGGGGUACAGUUCAAAUUAAGUUGGGAUGUGUGUGGACGUGUGGAGUAGUCAAAGUAAAGUGAUGUGAUGGGAUCAAGGUGCCAGCCAUGAUUUUUUAUGCAUGCAUGUGAUGAUUUCAUUAAAUGCCGUGCAAAAGUUGGAAAUGGUUUGGAUGGAUAAAGAUGGCAUGAAAAAGGGUUUAUUUUGAUGGUCUCGACGUGGAAAGCAAAUGACCACCAAAUGGCAUGUAUCCUUGGAUUUUGGCAGGUUUUUUACCGAGUCUUGUGGAAGUGAAUGGCUAGGCUUGCAUGUUAAUUAUCAGCAUGCUUUGGUUCCAGAGCCGUGGAGGUCAUUAUGCAUGUUAAUUAUUUGCAUAAAAUAAGGAGAUAAUGAUAACAUCUAAAAGAAAGGCUGUUGCUUACCUUGAGAAGUGUUUGACUGGGACUCUGGUUGAUGAGUGUGAAUUGAAAUCAAAUCCUACACUAGUGUGAAGCCGCACCACACAUUUGCGUCUAUAAAUACAAGGUUGCGAACACCAUUGAAGCCCCUCUAAUUCAACACACAAUUGCCCUGUGCAAACUUUCUCAACAACCUUGAGAUUUUUACUUUUUCCUUUUCGCCGACACAUCUUUCGUUGGUAUCAAUAGCACUGUGAAGGCAACCAGUGAUAUCCUCAGUCGACAUAAGAUAGCUCUGUCACCGUAGAAUCAGCUAAUCUCGCAGCAUCUUCCGUUGGUAUCAACAGCACUGCGGCGAGGACAGUUGGUUACCUAUCCAAGUCUCGGUCGAGAAGGAUUUCCGAAUCCUUGUUGGUCGAGGUCAUCUCAUUAGCCUUCUCAGCGAAGUGAGGUGUUACAGUUUACCGAGCUCGGCGCAUUGCACGCCGAGUUAUUUUAUGAUUGGAUACUCUCAAGUGGGAUUUAGAGUUCGGCAUUCUGACAGUCGAACCACGUUCACCAUUAAGACUUAUAUCCACUUUGAGUAUUUGUGCCCUUACACUUUGGUGUCGAUUCGGCGUGGGUUUACUCUGACAAAUACCAUCACUGUGACCGAGUUCGACGACGACGAUUCGUGAACUUCAUGAGAAUAGCAACCUUGUCUUCAGGCUGCAUAAGUCAGUAGCGCGACCCAAUGCAACAUUAGCAAAUUUUACUUCUCGGCCGAGCUCGGCCGACGAGUUGGCACGCCCCGCACACAACCGAAUGACGUAGUUAGCUCAUAGAUUACUCGGCCUGCGCGCCACGUACGUAGGCUUGGUAGUUUUUAGGGUCAACAAAUAUAUGCAUGGAUUUCCUAGAUGAAGUCUUAGGGGUUAAGUUUAGGGUUGUUUUAUAACGCAUCAAGGUAUAUGGUAUGCACCAGGUUUAUAGAAACGUUAAAUUCGUUGGGUUCUUGGACCAAAUACAAAAAGAAAAGAUCUUGACCUAUUCUCUGGGGAUGCAUAAAAAUAUAGAAUGGUUUUAAAUUUUGAGUAUCAGCCUAAUUAUUUCUCUUAGAUUAGUAAUACAUUAUUCAGCCUAUAUUCAAUGCACAUAUAAAAGGUUAUUUUUUCGAAAGACCUAUUUGUCGAUUUAUCCUCCGAACUUGUAUACACCUACCAAUUUCCCUUAUGAAUUUUAAUUUAGCUGAUUAUACCUGAACUUUUAUAAAUAGAUUUUGAAAAUUUUCAACUAAUCUUCCAUUCAUCUUGAUCACGCGAACAUCACAUGGCAAAUAUAUGAUGGGGAAAGGAUAAUUUUGUUUUGGUAAAUUGGGCACAAAGUUAGUACUUUGCCGUUGCAAAUUAGAUUCCUAUGGCUAAUUCAAACAUAAAGUAUACGGAGUCAACUAGCAAAAGAGAACAUUAGGGUAAUAUUACUUGAUUACCCUUAAACAUUUUUCAUCAGACUAAAAUGGGUAGGAAAUUGAAUGAAUUUUUUAAAAUCUAAUGUCAGAAAGGAAAUUGACUAAUUAUAAAAGUUUAGAAGGGUAAUCAACUAAAAUUAAAAUUUAGAGAGAAAAUUAGCAACUGCUUAAAGUUCUAGGAGAAAAUCGACAGAUAACUCUUUUCAAAAAAAGAGAAAAGGUUAUUGGGUUUCCUUUUUCCUUUUCAUUUCAAAUUUUUUACUUUAAUAAAUCAUCAGUACUAUCUAGUAUCUAGUAUAUAUUCUUUUAAGUUAGAAAUCUCAAAUUCAACUUAUCUUGUUAACAAAUUUAAUGUAAUAACACCGACGGUGAUAGACCCACGUUAGGAUAAAAAGUGGCCAUUCCCUCCCCUCCAAGGGCCCAUGCAAUAUUUCUAGCCAAAUACCUCCAUUACCCACCACCCCCCACAAAAAAGGGAAAGAAAAAAGAAGAAAAGAAAUCAGUCUAAUUGGUUCCAAAUCGAGCACUUAAACUCGGUUUGAUUUGCGACGCCACGCCAGAUGACCUUGUGCACCAUGAACUUGGCCUAGAAGAGAAUGCACGUAUUCUUAGGUGAAAAAACUAUACGUGUGAUAACACAUCUCCCAAUCUCUCCAUUCAUCAAAUAAGUUUAUAACGUUUUACAACAAGUAUUCAAAGGUGAAGGGAAUCAUUAAAUAAUUAUUCAAGAGGACUGUAAUCACCGUUGAUGAUCAGGGUUCAACCCAUGUCAAAGUUAAAGAAUCAAAAGGGUGCGGUUGUCGCGGUGUGACCAGAGAAAUUGGUGUCCGGUAAGAGACAGAGAAGCAAGACUACACUUUGGCAAUCAAGUACAAGAGCUCCGAGGAAGAAGCCAUCUCAUUUGGUGCAAUUGUUUGGGAAGAAGAGAGUGAAAAUUUUACUAUGAGGAGCCCUAUUGUGAUCUCGGGUAGCCCUAUUGUGAUCGUUGUGUAAGAACACGUUAGCUGGCAUUUCGGGAAGUUUGGUACGACUUCAAUUCAAUCCAUGUAGUUCAAAGAUGAGCAAUUGCAACCAUUUUAUCAACAAAAUUAUAAUACAAUGAGCCUUUUUGUUUCUCUUACUAGUAAUUUUCCUAAUAUGUAACAUCGACAAUGCACCUAUUACAUGUAAGUCCUUAGAAAAAGUUCAACUUUCUACACUCUUUUGGGCCUGACUUCAAUCCCUUGAACAAUAAGGCCUCUCUUCAUUCUAUGAAUGUCAAAAUCCCUACAUGUCAUCUCCAUUAACCCCCCAUUUUCUUCUCCUGGACAGAAGAACUCUCCAAUCUCCACCUCCAGCCAGCCGUCAGGCCUUUUCUUUCGGCUCCUUUCUUGGCCCAGAAACACAGUGCGCUUACUACUAGUCUCUUCUUUCCCAAAAAGUCCUAUCUUGACCUCCGAGGGAUCGUCACGAUCAAAUCCUCUAGCCCUUUCACUUAACAUGAACACAAGAUAAGCUUUGUAGACAGUGGAGGGGGAAAGAAUCCGUGUAUCAAUUUUGCCACGGAUGUCAAGCCACCAAACAACUACAAGCGCAGCCACCUCCUCAAACCUGUUUCAUUUAACAUGACACAUACUAAUUAAUUGCCUAAUUACACACAUACACACAUAUUUCAAUCUAUAUAUAUACAUCGCUAAAACAAAUCCAACCGCAGAAUAAGCACGAUAUGGAAAUGCAUUCUCAACAUCUUAAAAGCGUAGCUGUUAGCUUAAUCAAACCAACAAAACGUAAGAUGAAUGAAGAAGUUUACAGACCUGGAGUUGGCAAGAGAAAUCCAUUUCCAGUACUCAGGAUUAUCACCCCAAAUAAUAAUAAGGUCCUUCGGCGAUAUCAUGUAACAUUUUUUCCCACUCCAUUUGUCCAGAGUAAAACUCUGCAUAUAUAGAACAUGGAAACUGAUUGAGAAAGGUUACAAAAACUUAUUCUGGCUAGUUUUUCAUGCAUUAGUUCCAGCAGGCACCAUCUCAAAGUCGAAAGUCAUAUUUUCAUAUUAAUAUAUGAUGCUGUAUUCAAUUGAGAAUUUGAGAGACUUUAAAUUGAUUUUUAUAGAGUUUAAUUGAUUUAUAGAGAUUUCAUAGAAAAUUUUGAUUCAAUUUCCUCGAAAUCUCAUGGAGAGAGAUUAGAUUUGUGGAUGCUUAUAAUAUACUACAAAAUCUCUCCAAUUCCCUUUAAUUCCUCAAAUUUCUCAAAUUAUUUAAUAUCAAUUUCUAAUUGAAUACAAUGUUAUAAACUUUUUUAAAAUCAUAAUUGAAUACACUCAGAUUUAUAAAGAUUUUAAUAAAUUAUCUUAAAAUUCUAAUUGAAUACCCUUGAAUUAAAAUACUGAUUGAUUACCUAGAUUCAUUAAAAGAAUUAAAAUCCCUCAAACUCUGAAUUGAAUACACGCCCCAAAACUUUAUCAGAAAGUAGAGAGAAACAAAUAAAAUCUUCAAAUAUAUUCAUGUUUCAAAUUUUGGGAGCUAUCCCUAAUCCCACCACAAAAGCGAAAAAGAAUGUAUAAAAUUACCAUUUUUCCGUCGUCAACGAGGACAGGGUUUUCGCAGAGAGUGAGGUAAAGCUUCUUCUUGGAGGAGGAGAAGGUGGAGGAGGAGGAGGAGGAGUGAGAUAGGAUGGAGGGGAUAUCAGGGGGAAGGAACUUGUCCCAAACAGCGUCGGAAUCAGCAGCCGACAUGAAACUCUUAGACACCGCCGAAAACCUGCACGCGUCUCGAGGCGUCGUUAAGGAGACGACGUUAGCUAUGCAUCCUUCGGGCAACUCUUGCAGAUCCAUGUGAACGUGAUGGUGAUCGUCAUCGAGUACCAUCGACACCGGCGUCCCGCAGCCCCCGCUG